UACAGAGGUCCCAAGCGUUGUUCGGAUUCACUGGGCGUAAAGGGUGCGUAGGUGGCGCGGUAAGUCGGGUGUGAAAUUUCGGAGCUUAACUCCGAAACUGCAUUCGAUACUGCCGUGCUUGAGGACUGGAGAGGAGACUGGAAUUUACGGUGUAGCAGUGAAAUGCGUAGAGAUCGUAAGGAAGACCAGUGGCGAAGGCGGGUCUCUGGACAGUUCCUGACACUGAGGCACGAAGGCCAGGGGAGCAAACGGG
This 253-nucleotide ribosomal RNA is filed under the name uncultured bacterium. Its description in RNAcentral is "partial 16S ribosomal RNA". It matches the Rfam family "Bacterial small subunit ribosomal RNA", at positions 524 to 776 of the family's 1533-position model. The record is from RNAcentral.